UGCCAGCAGCCGCGGUAAUACGGAGGGUCCGAGCGUUAAUCGGAAUUACUGGGCGUAAAGCGCGCGUAGGUGGUUAUUUAAGUCAGAUGUGAAAGCCCUGGGCUCAACCUAGGAACUGCACCUGAUACUGGAUAACUAGAGUACAGAAGAGGGUAGUGGAAUUUCCUGUGUAGCGGUGAAAUGCGUAGAUAUAGGAAGGAACACCAGUGGCGAAGGCGACUACCUGGUCUGAUACUGACACUGAGGUGCGAAAGCGUGGGGAGCAAACAGGAUUAGAUA
This 279-nucleotide ribosomal RNA is filed under the name uncultured bacterium. RNAcentral describes it as "partial 16S ribosomal RNA". It matches the Rfam family "Bacterial small subunit ribosomal RNA", at positions 506 to 784 of the family's 1533-position model. The record is from RNAcentral.